This 253-nucleotide ribosomal RNA is filed under the name uncultured bacterium. Its description in RNAcentral is "partial 16S ribosomal RNA". It matches the Rfam family "Bacterial small subunit ribosomal RNA", at positions 524 to 776 of the family's 1533-position model. The record is from RNAcentral.
UACGAAGGGGGCUAGCGUUGCUCGGAAUCACUGGGCGUAAAGGGUGCGUAGGCGGGUCUUUAAGUCAGGGGUGAAAUCCUGGAGCUCAACUCCAGAACUGCCUUUGAUACUGAAGAUCUUGAGUUCGGGAGAGGUGAGUGGAACUGCGAGUGUAGAGGUGAAAUUCGUAGAUAUUCGCAAGAACACCAGUGGCGAAGGCGGCUCACUGGCCCGAUACUGACGCUAAGGCACGAAAGCGUGGGGAGCAAACAGG